UCUUUUUUUGGAAAGCGCUUGUUACACCUCCUUCUCCGGUGGCUUGCAUGGGUAUUCCCGUGAAAAAAAAGAAAAAAACAUGAGCAUUUUGCGAGAAGUAUAAAUGCUCAUAGCACACAAUUGCGAACUCAGAACCUGCAUCAUAUCAACAUGGCACUGUUGAAGCUGUCCUGGGUAUUUGUGGUGUUCGCCGCAGUCCUGGCAGUAGGAACAACAGAACUUGGAAAGCCCUCAGUAUCUCAGCAUGUGACGCAAGACAGCCAAGUGGAUCCACCAGAGGACACUGAAGAAGUGAAAGCAGAGCUACCGCGAUCACUAUGGAGGCGUCAGAUAGUCCCGAUGCCACGCCCAUAUCAGCCUGACACAAUACCGCACCCACGUCCUUGGCCACAACCCUAUCCUCACCCAAACCCCUUUCCGAGGCCUCACCCGCACCCACUGCCCCCGUUUCCACGACCAGAUCCCAUACCCCGUCCCUUCCCACAUCCACAGCCGCGUCCCUUCCCAUUUCCACAGCCGCGUCCCUACCCAAAUCCAAUACCAAGAAGGUUUCGUCGAUCGCUGCCAUUACCUACGGAGUUCGCUGUUGACAGCCGCCCUGUAGCUGAUACGGACCUGAAGCAGGACACCACCAGUCAACACGACAGGCAAACUAGAAGCAUUGUGACCCGUUAUUGGAAGCUCCGGUGGCCGCUCCCACGCCCUCGGCAUUAGUUUCCUUAACCCAUCCCACUUCCACUCCACUUCCACAAGAUUUAGACGCUCGAUUUCGCUAAAAGAAGUACAUGACCCAAAAGCAGAAGAAUCUAGAAGGACGUUCGAAGACUUCGACGACGAGCAAGUUAAGCACAACGUUGAAGACAAGGCAGGCACAGUCCUGCAAUCGUGGCGUUCACUCGCACCUUCCGAAAAGCGUACAGCAUCUGCCCAGCUGAACGCAGUUGUGUGGAGAAAACGAAAACGUGUCUUCUUCCUACACUUGGCCCUCGCGUCAUUGGGUAACAUAGAAUUUCUGUUAACGGAAGAAACUGACAUAUAAUCUCGACACUCUGUUUCUAACGGCGAGUCGUUUGCGUCACCUGUGAGAAUAAAGUUGGUGGUUCACCA
Ornithodoros turicata is the source of this 1107-nucleotide long non-coding RNA. RefSeq lists it as uncharacterized. NCBI's taxonomy places the organism in Eukaryota, Metazoa, Arthropoda, Arachnida, Ixodida, Argasidae. The transcript has 2 exons. The record is from RefSeq and is a predicted model, not a curated record.